UCGAACGAGUUCUCGUUGAUGAUCGGUGCUUGCACCGAGAUUCAACAUGGAACGAGUGGCGGACGGGUGAGUAACACGUGGGUAACCUGCCCUUAAGUGGGGGAUAACAUUUGGAAACAGAUGCUAAUACCGCAUAGAUCCAAGAACCGCAUGGUUCUUGGCUGAAAGAUGGCGUAAGCUAUCGCUUUUGGAUGGACCCGCGGCGUAUUAGCUAGUUGGUGAGGUAAUGGCUCACCAAGGCGAUGAUACGUAGCCGAACUGAGAGGUUGAUCGGCCACAUUGGGACUGAGACACGGCCCAAACUCCUACGGGAGGCAGCAGUAGGGAAUCUUCCACAAUGGACGCAAGUCUGAUGGAGCAACGCCGCGUGAGUGAAGAAGGCUUUCGGGUCGUAAAACUCUGUUGUUGGAGAAGAAUGGUCGGCAGAGUAACUGUUGUCGGCGUGACGGUAUCCAACCAGAAAGCCACGGCUAACUACGUGCCAGCAGCCGCGGUAAUACGUAGGUGGCAAGCGUUAUCCGGAUUUAUUGGGCGUAAAGCGAGCGCAGGCGGUUUUUUAAGUCUGAUGUGAAAGCCCUCGGCUUAACCGAGGAAGCGCAUCGGAAACUGGGAAACUUGAGUGCAGAAGAGGACAGUGGAACUCCUGGUGUAGCGGUGAAAUGCGUAGUUAUAUGGAAGAACACCGGUGGCGAAGGCGGCUGUCUGGUCUGUAACUGACGCUGAGGCUCGAAAGCAUGGGUAGCGAACAGGAUUAGAUACCCUGGUAGUCCAUGCCGUAAACGAGAAUGCA
This 790-nucleotide ribosomal RNA is filed under the name Lacticaseibacillus paracasei. Its description in RNAcentral is "bacterial SSU rRNA". It matches the Rfam family "Bacterial small subunit ribosomal RNA", at positions 62 to 817 of the family's 1533-position model. Lineage: Bacteria; Bacillati; Bacillota; Bacilli; Lactobacillales; Lactobacillaceae. The record is from RNAcentral.